ACAACCUCAAUUUAAGUGAGAUUACCCGCUGAACUUAAGCAUAUCAGUAAGCGGAGGAAAAGAAACUAACUAGGAUUUCCUUAGUAACGGCGAGUGAAA
Molecule: ribosomal RNA, 99 nt
Filed under: Steinernema thermophilum
Lineage: Eukaryota; Metazoa; Nematoda; Chromadorea; Rhabditida; Steinernematidae
Description: partial 28S ribosomal RNA
Rfam family: Eukaryotic large subunit ribosomal RNA
Source: RNAcentral